Molecule: non-coding RNA, 1725 nt
Organism: Paramuricea clavata
Lineage: Eukaryota; Metazoa; Cnidaria; Anthozoa; Malacalcyonacea; Plexauridae
Source: the annotation of a GenBank genome assembly
GGCCUUUGUCUUUGUCACUUUGGUAUUUAAAUAUUUUAAACUAAAUGUCAGUAUAACAAUGCCAAUGGUUGACCCCGAACAACUGAAGAUCUUCACAUAUAAUCAAAUAUCACUAUAGCUAUACAGCAUUCAUAGAAUAUUUGUAAUAUUUAUAACAACAUAAAACUUAUGGAGUAUUUCCUAGUUAUAACAUUUUACGAGUAGAAUAUUUUCCAGAGUAAUACGGUUUCUUUUUGCUCUCCUCGUACGCGAAAGUACUAUACUACUAUUUCUUAAUAUUUUUGCGUUCUUUCCAUGCAUAUACAGUGGGGUCAAAAGUCUGAGUCCAGUCAAUAUGCUUUUGCUUUUUAUUGAUAUACGAUAUAUUUUCACACAAUAGAGCAUUACAGAGCAUUAUAUGUGCGUCAAAUAAGGAUUUACAUCAACGUUGGGAUUGAUUAUACUAUAUUAGCCAAGUGAACAUUAUUUUAAUAUUUUGUGUGACCUCCUUUGGAUUUUAAAAUAGCUUUAACUCUUCCUGGCAUAGAUUCAACAAGUGUUCUAAGUACUGCUGGCUUAAAGUUAUUCCAGCAUUGAUUUAUAAGGACAUCCCAUAGGUUUUCUUUACUUGUGGGAUCAUGUUUCACUUUCCCUCGUUUCAAAUGAUCCCAUAAAUUCUCAAUAGGAUUUUAUAGGUCCAGAGAUUGAGGAGGAAAAUCCCUAACAACUAGAUCACAUUUCUCUUGCUUCCUUCUUCAAUAAUUUUUACACAUGUGAGAAGUGUGUUUCGGAUCAUUAUCCCGCGUUGCAAGACAAAUCCCCUUCCACACAACUUUAAGCUAGAUGGUAUGGCUUGUCUUUAAAGGAUGGAGUGAUAUUUUUGUUUCGUAAAAAUUAGUUAAUAAGUAGGGAGCAAGAGAAAGGUGAUCUGGUUGUUAUGGAUUUCCACCUCAACCUCCAGAUCGAAAAUCCUAAAUCCUAUUGAGAAUUUAUGGGAACGUUUCAAACGAGAGAAAGUGAAACAUAAUCCCACAAGUAAAGACAACCAACCUAUGGGAUGUCGUUGAUCAAUAAGACUGGAAUAACCUUAAACCAUCAAUACUAAGAAAACUUGUUGAAUCUAUGGCUAUGGCAGGAAGAAUUGAAGCUGUCUUAAAAUCAAAAGGAGGUCACACAAAAUAUUAAAAUAAUGUUCACAUGGCUAAUAUAGUAUAAUCAAAUCCUUGUUCGACGCACAUAUAGUGGUGUGUUGUUUAAGAAUAUAUUGUAUAUCAAUAAAAGGCAAAAUCAUAUUGACUGGACUCAGACUUUUGACCCCCACUGUAUAUGCAUGUCAAACACAUCUUAGUGUUUUUUUUUUGUGGAUCAUUAAUAAAUGAAUGCCAGUGUAUGAUAUUUACGCGUGUGACUGAUUUUGUGACUGUCAUUUUAGCAUUGGAGGCAGUUCGAAUACUUCAGGAGUAUUACAGUAUAAAAGAAGUAUUCUUUGACUUUGGUUAUUUUUGCAAUUGAUCGCGAUAUAUCGACAAACUAUAGUUAGUAUAACAACCUAUAUAGUAAACAUGAUAAACAUUUAUAUCGAUAAAUUAGUGAUUGGGAUUGGCUGUUCAAAAUUAGAAUUGCAAACUAGCAAAAAUGUGUAGGAGUGAGCACAGACGUUUGUGGAAGUGACGUGGGAGUGCAAUAUGUCACGAACAUUUGUUAUUAAAUGCCAUGCAUAUAGGGUAAAUCCCCUUGCAUAUUUAA